GGUGCGCGCGGGGCGGGGUGUGCCGGCCCGCGCGGGUUCGAUCCGCGAUUCGCCGAAAUGCCCGCCAGUCCCAUGAUCGUCGUCCGGGGCGCAUCCC
RNAcentral lists this transfer RNA (97 nucleotides) under Alienimonas chondri. RNAcentral's name for it is "tRNA-Arg". Lineage: Bacteria; Pseudomonadati; Planctomycetota; Planctomycetia; Planctomycetales; Planctomycetaceae. The record is from RNAcentral.